GCCGCCAUAGCUCACUCGGUUAGAGCUUGGGUCUAAUAAGCCCAAGGUCGCAGGUUCGGCCACUGCUGGCGGCA
Non-coding RNA from Nippostrongylus brasiliensis, 74 nucleotides. The record is from Rfam. Lineage: Eukaryota; Metazoa; Nematoda; Chromadorea; Rhabditida; Heligmosomidae.